This 121-nucleotide microRNA precursor is filed under the name Corchorus capsularis. Lineage: Eukaryota; Viridiplantae; Streptophyta; Magnoliopsida; Malvales; Malvaceae. The record is from RNAcentral.
AGAUAAAGUAGUGCAGCCAAGGAUGACUUGCCGGAUUGCUUAUCUUUAGAUAUAUAAUAAUUAGAUUUACAUAUAUAUGGGAGAUAACCGACAAGUUGUCUUUGGCUACAAUUCUGUCUCA